CCUGCCACUGCACCUGAAAAGUUCUCUGUUGGCUGUUGCAAUCCAAUGGUGAGCUGAUACUAAACCCCAGCUUAGGAAAGAAGGUUGUUGGGUGACUCUGUGCCAAAAGCAAAGGAACAGCC
This 122-nucleotide small nucleolar RNA is filed under the name Dasypus novemcinctus (nine-banded armadillo). Its description in RNAcentral is "Small nucleolar RNA SNORA65 (ENSDNOG00000026836.1)". It matches the Rfam family "Small nucleolar RNA SNORA65". Rfam says of the family: U65 belongs to the H/ACA class of snoRNAs which are thought to guide the sites of modification of uridines to pseudouridines. The record is from RNAcentral. Lineage: Eukaryota; Metazoa; Chordata; Mammalia; Cingulata; Dasypodidae.